GCCCCAGUGGCCUAACGGAUAAGGCACUGGCCUCCUAGGACAGGAAUUGUGACUUUGAGUCCCAUCUGGGGUA
Danio rerio (zebrafish) is the source of this 73-nucleotide non-coding RNA. Lineage: Eukaryota; Metazoa; Chordata; Actinopteri; Cypriniformes; Danionidae. The record is from Rfam.